RNAcentral lists this non-coding RNA (21 nucleotides) under Caenorhabditis elegans. Lineage: Eukaryota; Metazoa; Nematoda; Chromadorea; Rhabditida; Rhabditidae. The record is from RNAcentral.
UAUUUUGUAAAUUCGUAGCUU